ACCAUACAGGUGCCUCAAAAGGGCCUAACAGAGAAUCCGGUCAAAACCCGGAACAGUACCGCUGCUGUAGCAGGGAGUCCUUGUAUAAUCCACUAGAAACGGGAAGGAACGAGGGGGAAGAACUGGAGUCAGAAGAACUGCCUGUAUGA
RNAcentral lists this non-coding RNA (149 nucleotides) under human gut metagenome. The record is from RNAcentral.